AGAGCAUGCAGAAGUUCCUGGGCCAGGGAUCAAAACCACACCACGGCAGUGACAGGAGCCAUGGCAGUGGGAAUGCCAGAUCCUUAACCCACUGAGCCACAUGGGAACUCCACUAUUUAUUAUUUCAAGCCACUGAGAUUUGGGGCUGUUUUCAGAACAGCAUAAUCUAGUCUUUAGUGUCUUACUCAGUGUGAGUACAGGUGUCACAGUGUUUACCAGAAAAUACUUUCACAGAAGCAUCUCAAAGAUUUUAUAAUCUGGAUUAAAAAACAGCAACAACAGAAAAAACACUAGCUGGUAAAGCAAAAACAUAAGGUGAAGAGAAAGACGGUGCCAUGUGAGCAAAGAGAGGAAAUUCCCUUUGAUGAAUAUAAAAUUGCAAGAAUUCUUUCAACCUUAGAGGAGAAAUCAAUCGUCUCUACAAUGCACAAAAGUGAUAAAGGCUGUAUUUUGAGUAAAUCCACUAAUAGAGGCUGAGAAAUGGAGCCCAAGGAUGCAAACUUGGCAUCACAGUACAGAGGGGAGUGGAAUAAGACUCCGUAGGAAGGCAGAAGUGAAUCGAGAGAAUAAAAAGAACAAGUUUCCAAACAAGACCAGCAUCAAACUUUAGAGAAUGGUUUUCAUGUCUAUUAAUAAAAUAGAUCAGCAGGAGUUCCCAUCCUGGCACAGCAGAAAUGAGUCCAACUAGGAACCGUGAGGUUGCGGGUUCCAUCCCCGGCCUUGCUCAGUGGGUACAGAUCUGUCAUUGCCAUGGCUGUGGUGUAGGUCACAGAUGCAGCUUGGAUUUGGAGCAUUGCUGUGGCUGUGACGUAGGCUGGCAGCUGUAGCUCUGAUUAGACCUCUAGCCUGGGAACCUCCAUAUGCUGUGGGAGUGGCCCUAACAAGCAAAAAAAAAAAAAAAAAAAAAAUUAAAAUUAAAAAAUUAAAUAAAAUAGAUUAUUAUUAUUAUUUUUUUUGCUCAGCUCUGGGUUUUGUUUUGUUUUUUUUGUUUUGUUUUUUUUUUCUGCUUUUUUUUAGGGCCUCACCUGAGGCAUGUGGAGAUUCAGUCUAGGGGUCUAAUUGAAGCUACAGCUGCUGGCCUGCCAGUGGAUACAGCUCUGAUUAGACCCCUAGCCUGGGAACCUCCAUAUGCCAUGGGUGUAGCCCUGAAAAGCCAAAAAAAAAAAAAAAAAAAGUGCUUAUAGUCAAUUAAUCUACAAAAAAGAAAGCAAAAAUAUGCAAUGGGAAAAAGAGAGUCUCUUCAGUGAGUAAGGCUGGGAAAAACUGGACAGCUAAAUGUAAAAGGAUGAAAUUAGAACAUUCUCUAACACCAUAUACAAAAUAAAUUCAAAUGGAUUAAUGCAACUCAUAUCAAAAUCUCACUGCUGGAGUUCCCAUCAUGGCUCAGUGGAAAUGAAUCUGACUAGCAUACAUGAGGAUGCAGGUUCGAUCCCUGGCCUCACUCAGUGGGUUAAGGAGUCGGUGUUACCAUGAGCUAUGGUGUAGGUCACAGACGUGGAUCAGAUCUGGCAUUGCUCUGGCUGUGGUAUAGGCCAGCAGCUGUAGCUCCAAUUUGAUCCCUAGCCUGGGAACCUCCAUAUGUCGUGGGUAUGGCCCUAAAAAAAAAAAGUCAACUACCCAUUUUGCAAAACAUGGAAGACAAUCUUCAAAUUCACAAAGAUGCAAGUGACCCAGCACAGCCAAAACAAUCUCUAAAAGGAAGGAUAAAGUUGGGAGAUUCUCACUUACAACCUCAUUUUACUAAAAAAUUUCCAGUUGUCAAUACUGUAUGGUACUGGAAUUUUAAAAAGACAUACAGAUCAAUGGAAUAGAAUUGUGAAUACAUAAAUACAGCUUUCCAUUUAUGGUUCAUUAACUUUCACAAGGGUGCUAAAAUAAUUCAAUGCAAAAAAAAAAAAAAAAAAAAGUCUUUUUGGAGUUCUCUUGUGGCACAACAGGUCAAGGAUCUGGUUUGUCAUUGCUGUAGCUCAGGUCACUGCUGUGGCAUGGGUUCAAUCCCUGGCCUGGGGACUUAAACACACCGUGAUCAUGGACAAAAAAAUAUAUAUAUAUAACCUUUUUAAAAAACAAUACUGGACUAAUUGAGUAUCUAUUAGAUUGCAUGAUAAUUAGGUUGGACCCCUACUUCACUGUGUAUACAAACGUUAACUCAAGAUAAUCAUAGAAUUAAAUGUAAGAACUAAAACUACAAAAUUGUUGAAAGUAAAUAUAGGAUUAAAUCUCUG
RNAcentral lists this long non-coding RNA (2225 nucleotides) under Sus scrofa (pig). RNAcentral describes it as "lncRNA (ENSSSCG00000043148.1)". The record is from RNAcentral. Lineage: Eukaryota; Metazoa; Chordata; Mammalia; Artiodactyla; Suidae.